Molecule: ribosomal RNA, 430 nt
Filed under: uncultured archaeon
Lineage: Archaea
Description: bacterial SSU rRNA
Rfam family: Archaeal small subunit ribosomal RNA
Source: RNAcentral
UACCAGCUCUCCGAGUGGUAGGGAUGUUUAUUGGGCUUAAAGCGUCCGUAGCCGGCUUAGCAAGUCUCCUGUUAAAUUCAGCGACCUAAUCGUUGAGCCGCGGGAGAUACUACUAGGCUAGGAGGCGGGAGAGGUCAACGGUACUUCCGGGGUAGGGGUGAAAUCCUAUAAUCCCGGGAGGACCACCAGUGGCGAAGGCUGCUGACUAGAACGCGCUCGACGGUGAGGGACGAAAGCUGGGGGGAGCGAACCGGAUUAGAUACCCGGGUAGUCCCAGCUGUAAACGAUGCGAGCUAGGUGUUGGGGUGGCUACGUGCCACUUCAGUGCCGCAGGGAAGCCAUUAAGCUCGCCGCCUGGGGAGUACGGCCGCAAGGCUGAAGCUUAAAGGAAUUGGCGGGGGAGCACCACAAGGCGUGAAGCUUGCGGUUC